Molecule: ribosomal RNA, 248 nt
Filed under: uncultured bacterium
Lineage: Bacteria
Description: partial 16S ribosomal RNA
Rfam family: Bacterial small subunit ribosomal RNA
Source: RNAcentral
UACGAAGGGGGCUAGCGUUGCUCGGAAUCACUGGGCGUAAAGGGUGCGUAGGCGGGUCUUUAAGUCAGGGGUGAAAUCCUGGAGCUCAACUCCAGAACUGCCUUUGAUACUAAAGAUCUUGAGUUCGGGAGAGGUGAGUGGAACUGCGAGUGUAGAGGUGAAAUUCGUAGAUAUUCGCAAGAACACCAGUGGCGAAGGCGGCUCACUGGCCCGGUACUGACGCUGAGGUGCGAAAGCGUGGGGAGCAA